GCCCCGAGCGCAGGCUGCCCGCCCGCCCCCAGCCCCGCGGCUCCUCUCCCGCAUCUCCGAUGCCCCGGGCACUUUCCAUAGCGGUGACAGGGUCGUUGAGAGCUGUCGGGAGGGACGGCCAGACCACUGUCGCCAAGUGCGAUCUCAAGAACUUUCGGGGGGUUUCCUCUUUGUUUGGGCACGCGGGCCACAGUCGGGUUAUUACCCACGGGGGAGGGGAGCGGCGGCGGGUGGUGGGAGAGAGGAGUCUGCCCAGCGAGAGGCCGUAGACAGGAUAUUAGUGGAAAUAAUGCCGUGGUUGUCAGGAAACGCGAGUGCAGCCACAUGGCUACUGCCAGUUAUGCAGCGAGGAUAUCCGGUGGCUGCGAAGUCUGUAAUUUAGAAUAAAAAGAGCUCUCUCAAGACCCGAGAGGCUGACCUCAGCGCCGCGUGGCGGUGGUGCGCCCGGCACCCUCCGUGGAGAAGGUCCAGGUUGUGACAGUCUAGACAAUGGAAAGGCAGUGGUCGAGUAGCAGGACAGAUGCCGGAGAAGGACUCAAUUCUGGAUCCUCUGUCUCCUAAGGACAUAACACAGUACUGUGAACCCAGUCUCACACUUGUCUGGACAUAACUCUAAACAAGCUUUUUAAAGGCCAGCUCGAUUUUUCAAGUUGUGGUCUUGCGGACUUUACAAAGUGGGUAAUGCUAUUUGACUGUUGUUCAGAAAGGCAGAAACGUGUAUCUGCAGUGCCGUGAUGUUGAGAGGGGUACAGGAUUACACAGCUGUCUUCUUAGAUAAAUCUGACCUACUUAGCCUUCUCUGGAGGUAUUUUUCAUGCUGACUCAUGAACAACAGGAAAGUUUUGGCCCAUUAAGUAACAUCCAUGUUUUGAAGUAAACUUGUUCUCCAAAGAAGACUCCUGUGUCAUUUGUGCUAUAUUUCCUUUAUUUCCCUGUAGAUGGUAGAUACUCUAUUAUCACAGAAUAUGAAGGCUGGAAAAAUUUUGGCUAUUAAAUAAUAGCCAACUGCCUCAUUUUACAGAAGAAGCUGCCCACAAAGGAUGAGAAAUAUCCAAGUUAUAGUGGCAAAGUUAUGGAGAAGUAUAUGUGCAAUAAUGUUAACUAAAAAAAUUUAACGUGAACAUGAAUUAACUCAUUAUGCAAAUUAGGCACACAAGAUAAGCAUGGAAGACACACUAAGGAGAUAUCUUACUAGAGUAUAUCAGUUUUAAAUUAGGUCCAU
Equus caballus (horse) is the source of this 1222-nucleotide long non-coding RNA. RefSeq lists it as uncharacterized. The record is from RefSeq and is a predicted model, not a curated record. NCBI's taxonomy places the organism in Eukaryota, Metazoa, Chordata, Mammalia, Perissodactyla, Equidae.